GCAAGUCGAGCGAGACGGUUAUGAAGGAUUCUUCGGAUGAUUGCUUAACUAGAAAGCGGCGGACGGGUGAGUAACGCGUGGGUAACCUACCUUUCACACAGGGAUAGCACUUGGAAACGAUGAUUAAUACCUGAUGACACAUAAUGAUCACAUGUUCGUUAUGUCAAAGAUUUAUCGGUGAGAGAUGGACCCGCGUCUGAUUAGCUAGUUGGAGAGAUAAAAGCUCCCCAAGGCGACGAUCAGUAGCCGACCUGAGAGGGUGAUC
This 265-nucleotide ribosomal RNA is filed under the name uncultured bacterium. RNAcentral's name for it is "partial 16S ribosomal RNA". It matches the Rfam family "Bacterial small subunit ribosomal RNA", at positions 57 to 305 of the family's 1533-position model. The record is from RNAcentral.